Molecule: unclassified non-coding RNA, 316 nt
Filed under: Hevea brasiliensis (rubber tree)
Lineage: Eukaryota; Viridiplantae; Streptophyta; Magnoliopsida; Malpighiales; Euphorbiaceae
Source: RNAcentral
GUUUUACAGGCGAGUUAGAUCCACCCUGGGUUGUCAAUUUCUGCAUCGAACUAACAAUAUGUGAGUCUUCCUCGCGCCCUCACUCACUCCCUCCCUGCCUACCUUUCUUCCUUGCCCUUUCUCGCAAAAUCAGUAUCAGAUAAUCAUCAGCAGCUCAAACUAAUACAGAGGGAGCCACCCCAGCUAUGAUUGAAAUCUCAUUUCAUUUCCAAACUAAAGGGGUAAGUAUUGGAUCGAGUUCUUGAAUUGGUUGCGUUAAGGGAUGGCGUGGUUUAGCGGGAAGGUGUCCUUAGGGAACUUCCCGGAUCUUGCUGGU